Non-coding RNA from Mycena floridula, 103 nucleotides. NCBI's taxonomy places the organism in Eukaryota, Fungi, Basidiomycota, Agaricomycetes, Agaricales, Mycenaceae. The record is from the annotation of a GenBank genome assembly.
GGGCACAUGGUGUAGUUGGUUAUCACGCUCGCUUAGCAUGCAUGCGGCAGGCAGCAAGCGUCGAGUCUGCGAGAGGUGUUGGGUUCAAUUCCCAAUGUGUCCA